CCUACGGGAGGCAGCAGUGAGGAAUAUUGGUCAAUGGGCCGGAGCCUGAACCAGCCAAGUCGCGUGAGGGAAGACGGUCCUAUGGAUUGUAAACCUCUUUAGGCGGGGAGCAAUGCCGGGCACGUGUGCCCGGAGGGAGAGUACGCGCAGAAUAAGCAUCGGCAAACUCCGUGCCAGCAGCCGGGGUAAGACGGAGGAUGGGGGCGUUAUCUGGUGGUAUUGGGUUGAAGGGGUGCGUUGGCGGAUUUUUAGGUCAGCGUGAAAUUGUCGGGGCUCAACCCGGGGCGGCCGUUGAAACUGGUGAUCUUGAGUGGGCGAGAGGUAUGCGGAAUGCGUGGUGUAGCAGUGAAAUGCAUAGAUAUCACGCAGAACUCCGAUUGCGAAGGCAGCAUACCGGCGCCCGACUGACGCUGAGGCACGAAAGCGUGGGGAUCGAACAGGAUUAGAUACCCCUGUAGUC
Molecule: ribosomal RNA, 460 nt
Filed under: uncultured bacterium
Lineage: Bacteria
Description: partial 16S ribosomal RNA
Rfam family: Bacterial small subunit ribosomal RNA
Source: RNAcentral